AAGGACACAGGAGAGAAAAAACACAGUGAGCAGGAGGAACUGCGCCCACAGACAGAGUUCUGGAGGCUGCAAAGUCCAACAGUAAGAGCCUGCAUCUGCUGAGGGCCUUCCUGCUGGGACAUCCCAUGGUGGAAGGCAGAAGGGGAAAGGGCGAGAGAGCCAGAGAGCAAGCCAGCAAGAGGAGCCCCACACCGGCCUUCACAAAAACCACUCUCAGGCAUUGGAAAGUCUAAGCCAACUAUCCCCCACAGUUGGCACCCUGGAACAGGCGACUGCAGGAGCAGCAAGCAGCAGCAUUACCGGCCACUAGGCAGAG
Molecule: long non-coding RNA, 316 nt
Organism: Gorilla gorilla gorilla (western lowland gorilla)
Lineage: Eukaryota; Metazoa; Chordata; Mammalia; Primates; Hominidae
Exons: 3
Source: RefSeq, a predicted model, not a curated record